Molecule: non-coding RNA, 29 nt
Filed under: Mus musculus (house mouse)
Lineage: Eukaryota; Metazoa; Chordata; Mammalia; Rodentia; Muridae
Source: RNAcentral
UGACAAGACUUCCACAGGUAGCUGUUGGG